RNAcentral lists this ribosomal RNA (151 nucleotides) under Clostridioides difficile. Its description in RNAcentral is "partial 23S ribosomal RNA". It matches the Rfam family "Bacterial large subunit ribosomal RNA", at positions 2771 to 2925 of the family's 2925-position model. Lineage: Bacteria; Bacillati; Bacillota; Clostridia; Peptostreptococcales; Peptostreptococcaceae. The record is from RNAcentral.
CUGAAAGCAUCUAAGCGCGAAGCCAACUUCAAGAUAAGAUUUCCCACCGCAAGGGUAAGACCCCAGAAAGACUAUCUGGUUGAUAGGUCGAAGGUGUAAGUGCAGCAAUGUAUUUAGCUUAUCGAUACUAAUAGGUCGAGGACUUGACCAA